This 253-nucleotide ribosomal RNA is filed under the name uncultured bacterium. RNAcentral's name for it is "partial 16S ribosomal RNA". It matches the Rfam family "Bacterial small subunit ribosomal RNA", at positions 524 to 776 of the family's 1533-position model. The record is from RNAcentral.
UACAGAGGUCUCAAGCGUUGUUCGGAUUCAUUGGGCGUAAAGGGUGCGUAGGCGGCGCGGUAAGUCGGGUGUGAAAUCUCGGAGCUUAACUCCGAAACUGCAUUCGAUACUGCCGUGCUUGAGGACUGGAGAGGAGACUGGAAUUUACGGUGUAGCGGUGAAAUGCGUAGAUAUCCGGAGGAACACCGGUGGCGAAGGCGGCUUCCUGGACCGACACUGACGCUGAGGCGCGAAAGCCAGGGGAGCAAACGGG